UAUCGGAUUGAUACUAAGCCAUGCGAGUCAUUGCAGUAAUGCAAGGCAGACGGCUCAGUAACGCGUAGUCAACCUACCCUAUGGACGGGAAUAACCUCGGGAAACUGAGUAUAAUGCCCGAUAGAACACUAUUCCUGGAAUGGUUUGUGUUCCAAAUGAUUUAUCGCCGUAGGAUGGGACUGCGGCCUAUCAGUUUGUUGGUGAGGUAAUGGCCCACCAAGACUAUUACAGGUACGGGCUCUGAGAGGAGUAGCCCGGAGAUGGGUACUGAGACACGGACCCAGGCCCUAUGGGGCGCAGCAGGCGAGAAAACUUUGCAAUGUGCGAAAGCACGACAAGGUUAAUCCGAGUGGUUUGUGCUAAACGAACCUUUUGACAGUCCUAGAAACACUGUUGAAUAAGGGGUGGGCAAGUUCUGGUGUCAGCCGCCGCGGUAAAACCAGCACCUCAAGUGGUCAGGAUGAUUAUUGGGCCUAAAGCAUCCGUAGCCGGCUCUGUAAGUUUUCGGUUAAAUCUGUACGCUCAACGUACAGGCUGCCGGGAAUACUGCAGAGCUAGGGAGUGGGAGAGGUAGACGGUACUCGGUAGGAAGGGGUAAAAUCCUUUGAUCUAUUGAUGACCACCUGUGGCGAAGGCGGUCUACCAGAACACGUCCGACGGUGAGGGAUGAAAGCUGGGGGAGCAAACCGGAUUAGAUACCCGGGUAGUCCCAGCUGUAAACUAUGCAAACUCAGUGAUGCAUUGGCUUGUGGCCAAUGCAGUGCUGCAGGGAAGCCGUUAAGUUUGCCGCCUGGGAAGUACGUACGCAAGUAUGAAACUUAAAGGAAUUGGCGGGGGAGCACCACAAGGGGUGAAGCCUGCGGUUCAAUUGGAGUC
This 876-nucleotide ribosomal RNA is filed under the name uncultured archaeon. Its description in RNAcentral is "bacterial SSU rRNA". It matches the Rfam family "Archaeal small subunit ribosomal RNA", at positions 31 to 913 of the family's 1478-position model. The record is from RNAcentral.